CCUACGAUGGCCGAGUACAAGGCAUUAAGCUUUUAACUUAAACACAGAAUAUCACUUCGUGGGA
RNAcentral lists this transfer RNA (64 nucleotides) under Pilsbryoconcha exilis. RNAcentral's name for it is "tRNA-Lys". The record is from RNAcentral. Lineage: Eukaryota; Metazoa; Mollusca; Bivalvia; Unionida; Unionidae.